GUUCUCAAAUCUAGGAAUGAAGCUGAUUUUAUAUUUUUUGGUUCUCGCUGCAUACGUCGGCAGUUCUUUAGCUCUUAAACAUGAGGUGUGCGGAAUGCCACAUGUUAAACAAGGAACUAAUGGUGGAUUCACCUGCAUGGCUUACUACGAAAGAUGGUCCUAUAAUACAGUGACCAAGGAAUGCUCAAUGUUUAUGUACGGAGGCUGCGGUGGAAAUGCUAAUAGUUUUUUGAACCGAAAAGAUUGUGAGGACAAGUGCCUAGAAUGAAUACCCAAAGAAUAAAGCAUGAUAGGUUAACGUGUUCCAA
Drosophila montana is the source of this 308-nucleotide long non-coding RNA. RefSeq lists it as uncharacterized. The record is from RefSeq and is a predicted model, not a curated record. The transcript has 2 exons. NCBI's taxonomy places the organism in Eukaryota, Metazoa, Arthropoda, Insecta, Diptera, Drosophilidae.